This is a small nucleolar RNA of Lathyrus oleraceus (garden pea), 107 nucleotides long. The record is from RefSeq and is a predicted model, not a curated record. Lineage: Eukaryota; Viridiplantae; Streptophyta; Magnoliopsida; Fabales; Fabaceae.
AUUCCAUGAUGGGGACAAAGCCUUAGCAUAUCCUUGUAUCUCUCCCACGCUUCAAAAAGUUAUUCAUUGUCCUUCUGCCUAAAUCCGUUGAUUUGGGCUCUUAGCAU